This is a long non-coding RNA of Nothoprocta perdicaria, 283 nucleotides long. RefSeq lists it as uncharacterized. The record is from RefSeq and is a predicted model, not a curated record. The transcript is spliced from 3 exons. Lineage: Eukaryota; Metazoa; Chordata; Aves; Tinamiformes; Tinamidae.
CUAGGCAGGAGGCAGGGGAUCAGAUUUCCUUUGGGUGCAGGUAAAGCUUUAAGGUCAGUUCUCGCAAGGAGAUGUACUGAGGAAGAGGAAGGAGGGAAUUUUAGAUACCUAUUUGCUGCUCUGAAAUCUGCUGGGAAGUAUUUGUCUUUUUCCUCCUAUCAAAUGACUUUGGCGGGAACCCCACUAGAAGAAAUCAAACAAGACAGCCGAAGCCUGGGCUGCUGCAAGGGGAAAAACAAGUCCAGAGGGAACUUGCAAAUCGCUGCCUGUCCUACAAGUCUGU